Molecule: ribosomal RNA, 264 nt
Filed under: uncultured bacterium
Lineage: Bacteria
Description: partial 16S ribosomal RNA
Rfam family: Bacterial small subunit ribosomal RNA
Source: RNAcentral
CCUAACACAUGCAAGUCGAACGAGAUCUUCGGAUCUAGUGGCGCACGGGUGCGUAACGCGUGGGAAUCUGCCCUUGGGUACGGAAUAACUCGCCGAAAGGUGAGCUAAUACCGUAUGAAGGCUACGGACCAAAGAUUUAUCGCCUGAGGAUGAGCCCGCGUUGGAUUAGCUAGUUGGUGGGGUAAAGGCUCACCGAGGCUACGAUCCUUAGCUGGUCUGAGAGGAUGAUCAGCCACACUGGGACUGAGACACGGCCCAGACUCC